GAUGAAGAACGCAGCGAAAUGCGAUAAGUAAUGUGAAUUGCAGAAUUCAGUGAAUCAUCGAAUCUUUGAACGCACAUUGCGCCCGCCAGUAUUCUGGCGGGCAUGCCUGUCCGAGCGUCAUUUCAACCCUCGAACCCCUCCGGGGGGUCGGCGUUGGGGAUCGGCCCUUUCACCGGGUGCCGGCCCCUAAAUACAGUGGCGGUCUCGCCGCAGCCUCUCAUGCGCAGUAGUUUGCACACUCGCACCGGGAGCGCGGCGCGUCCACGUCCGUAAAACACCCCAACUUCUCAGGUUGACCUCAGAUCAGGUAGGAAUACCCGCUGAACUUAAGCAUAUCAAUAAGCGGAGGA
RNAcentral lists this unclassified non-coding RNA (350 nucleotides) under soil metagenome. Its description in RNAcentral is "partial contains 5.8S ribosomal RNA, internal transcribed spacer 2, and large subunit ribosomal RNA". The stretch from base 1 to 120 matches the Rfam family "5.8S ribosomal RNA", at positions 35 to 154 of the family's 154-position model. The record is from RNAcentral.